GCGAAAUGCCAGUCAGCUGUUCGCACAACCAAAAAGAAAAAUCGGUUUACGUGGAAGUGAUCAAAUAUUUGCCGAAAAAACGAUUAUUAUACUAAUUUAUUGUAACAAUUUUGAUUGUAGGAAAAAAUUGUGUUUUAUAUAAGAAUAGUAGCAUAAUGAUUGAAAUUACAGAUUUACAGAAAAUUGGAAUAGGUCUGGCUGGCUUUGGUGUCUCAUUCCUAUUUUUGGGUGUGCUAUUUCUGUUCGAUAAAGGAUUGCUGGCUAUUGGAAACUUGCUCUUCCUGAGUGGUCUUGCCUGUGUAAUUGGAGUACAACGUACAUUUAGGUUUUUCUUUCAACGACACAAAGUUAAAGGUACCACUGCGUUUUUUGGCGGGAUUUUCGUUGUACUUCUUGGUUUUCCAAUGAUUGGAAUGAUCAUUGAGCUAUACGGAUUCUUUGUGUUAUUUAGCGGAUUCUUCCCGGUGGCAGUCAACUUCUUAGGAAGAGUGCCAGUUCUAGGCUCUGUUCUAAAUACACCUGUAAUUCAAAAGCUUGUACAAAAACUCGGUGGGGACGCAAAUCGAACGACGGUAUAGUAGAACUCCAAUAAUCUCUGCUAAGGAUAAUUUUAAUAUAGUUUAUUCAUCCGUGAGCUUAAAUUUAAAGAGCGUUUUUGUAUAAAAAUAUCCAGAUUCCAUCUUCACAUGAAAAUACCCGAUUCAAAGGCGAUUUUUGUAUGUUUAAUUCGAAAACGUACAUAUGUAUUUCUGUAGUUUCUGGCUGCAACAAAGGUGAUGGCGAAUAGGGUAUAUGAGCGAGGUAUAUACUCUCUGUCAAAAAAUGAGGCAAAUAAAACCGAUGCAAAUAUAAUAUUUAAAAAAAUGUUUUUAACUUACCCAUAUCGUAAAAUUGUCCAAUAGUCCAUUUGAGUAGCCUUUGAAGAGGGAAAUCUAAAAGAUUUCGACGUAAUACUUGAACGAGUAAAUUAACUAGAUAAAUACAAAGCCGUAACUGCAAAAAAACAAAAAAAUAUAAAUAGGUAAAAAAUUAUAUAAGCUGAGGAAACUUACAGACGUAAAUACUACAUAAUAAACCAGUACAGUUGGAAAAAGGAAGAGUAGUGCUGUAAAGAAUAUAGUUGCAAGGUAUAGCUGGCGGGUGACGUAAUUAUGUGACUCUACGCGAUCUGAAGGUAAAAUAUAGUACUUUAAUUUUUGUUACAAAAUAUGGCUGACAAAUAUUUACUUUUAAGUACAUUGUAACGUUUUCCCAGCAUCACCUUCCAGAGCACUUGAAUGCCUUUGAUUUCCACCUUAUACAAUCUAAUAUAAUAAGUAUUUAAGUUAUUAUUAUUUGUGAUUAAAAUAAACUGGUGACUUACACUGCUGUAUAUAUAUAAAAGCAAUGUGCAUGUAGACCGAUUAUGGAUAUCAAAACUGGUAGCGAGGCCAAUUGAAAAGACAAUCCAAUUAAACCAAGUAAUGCAAUUGGAACGAAAAGUUGAAGCACGAUCGGCUCAAUCAGA
Anastrepha ludens (Mexican fruit fly) is the source of this 1507-nucleotide RNA transcript. It is a transcript of the gene named vesicle transport protein GOT1B, with no coding region annotated. The record is from RefSeq and is a predicted model, not a curated record. Lineage: Eukaryota; Metazoa; Arthropoda; Insecta; Diptera; Tephritidae. The transcript has 6 exons.